CCAGACUCCUACGGGAGGCAGCAGUGGGGAAUAUUGGGCAAUGGGCGCAAGCCUGACCCAGCAACGCCGCGUGAAGGAAGAAGGCUUUCGGGUUGUAAACUUCUUUUAUUCGGGACGAAGCAAGUGACGGUACCGAAUGAAUAAGCCACGGCUAACUCCGUGCCAGCAGCCGCGGUAAUACGGAGGAUGCGAGCGUUAUCCGGAUUUAUUGGGUUUAAAGGGUGCGUAGGCGGAAUAUCAAGUCAGCGGUAAAAAUUCGGGGCUCAACCCCGUCGUGCCGUUGAAACUGAUGUUCUUGAGUGGGCGAGAAGUAUGCGGAAUGCGUGGUGUAGCGGUGAAAUGCAUAGAUAUCACGCAGAACUCCGAUUGCGAAGGCAGCAUACCGGCGCUCAACUGACGCUCAUGCACGAAAGCGUGGGUAUCGAACAGGAUUAGAUACCCGGGUAAG
This 448-nucleotide ribosomal RNA is filed under the name uncultured bacterium. RNAcentral's name for it is "bacterial SSU rRNA". It matches the Rfam family "Bacterial small subunit ribosomal RNA", at positions 331 to 794 of the family's 1533-position model. The record is from RNAcentral.